RNAcentral lists this ribosomal RNA (558 nucleotides) under uncultured bacterium. RNAcentral describes it as "partial 16S ribosomal RNA". It matches the Rfam family "Bacterial small subunit ribosomal RNA", at positions 355 to 903 of the family's 1533-position model. The record is from RNAcentral.
UAGGGAAUCUUCCACAAUGGACGCAAGUCUGAUGGAGCAACGCCGCGUGAGUGAAGAAGGUUUUCGGACCGUAAAGCUCUGUUGUUGGUGAAGAAGGAUAGAGGUAGUAACUGGCCUUUAUUUGACGGUAAUCAACCAGAAAGUCACGGCUAACUACGUGCCAGCAGCCGCGGUAAUACGUAGGUGGCAAGCGUUGUCCGGAUUUAUUGGGCGUAAAGCGAGCGCAGGCGGAAGAAUAAGUCUGAUGUGAAAGCCCUCGGCUUAACCGAGGAAUUGCAUCGGAAACUGUUUUUCUUGAGUGCAGAAGAGGAGAGUAGAACUCCAUGUGUAGCGGUGGAAUGCGUAGAUAUAUGGAAGAAUACCAGUGGCGAAGGCGGCUCUCUGGUCUGCAACUGACGCUGAGGCUCGAAAGCAUGGGUAGCGAACAGGAUUAGAUACCCUGGUAGUCCAUGCCGUAAACGAUGAGUGCUAAGUGUUGGGAGGCUUCCGCCUCUCAGUGCUGCAGCUAACGCAUUAAGCACUCCGCCUGGGGGAGUACGACCGCAAGGUUGAAACUCU